Molecule: unclassified non-coding RNA, 18 nt
Filed under: Chlamydomonas reinhardtii
Lineage: Eukaryota; Viridiplantae; Chlorophyta; Chlorophyceae; Chlamydomonadales; Chlamydomonadaceae
Description: small RNA Cre_1419
Source: RNAcentral
CGUUGCGUCGGUCGCGCG